GAUGAACGCUGACAGAAUGCUUAACACAUGCAAGUCAACUGUGGCGGACGGGUGAGUAACGCGUACAGAACUUGACUCACAGAUAGGGACAACAUUUGGAAACGAAUGCUAAUACCUGAUACUGUGAGAGAGCUUUGCGUCCCAUUAGCUAGUUGGAGAGGUACCGGCUCACCAAGGCGAGGAUGGGUAGCAGGCCUGAGAGGGUGAUCGGCCACAAGGGGACCGGGACACGGCCCUUACUCCUACGGGAGGCAGCAGUGGGGAAGAUUGGACAAUGGGCCAAAGUCUGAUCCAGCAAUUCUGUGUGCACGAUGAAGUUUUCGGAAUGUAAAGUGCUUUCAGUUGGGAAGCGGUACCAACAGAAGAAGUGACGGCUAACUACGUGCCAGCAGCCGCGGUAAUAC
RNAcentral lists this ribosomal RNA (404 nucleotides) under uncultured bacterium. RNAcentral's name for it is "partial 16S ribosomal RNA". It matches the Rfam family "Bacterial small subunit ribosomal RNA", at positions 28 to 526 of the family's 1533-position model. The record is from RNAcentral.